CCGUAUAUCUAAAAGCAAGGGGCAUGGGGUCUCCAAUUGCAUGCCAGAGUAACUGGAGAGACUUUGACAGCCCAGGCCAGCACAGUGCCUGCAGCUGCCACUCGACUUUCCUAUACAU
This is a small nucleolar RNA of Chionomys nivalis (European snow vole), 118 nucleotides long. RefSeq annotates it as small nucleolar RNA SNORA44. The transcript has a single exon. The record is from RefSeq and is a predicted model, not a curated record. NCBI's taxonomy places the organism in Eukaryota, Metazoa, Chordata, Mammalia, Rodentia, Cricetidae.